RNAcentral lists this ribosomal RNA (498 nucleotides) under Triticum aestivum (bread wheat). Its description in RNAcentral is "partial small subunit ribosomal RNA". The record is from RNAcentral. Lineage: Eukaryota; Viridiplantae; Streptophyta; Magnoliopsida; Poales; Poaceae.
CAACGCUAGUCAGCGCCGGAGGAGGGUUGGAUCAAGGCCAACACAGACGGUGCUAUGUCAAAGUUUGGAGGCAAGAGUGGAGGAGGGGUUGUACUGCGGGAUCAUAACGGUGCCUUCCUAGCAGGUGCAAGCCACUUCUUUCCUCAUGUGGUUGAUGCAGAGGCCGCAGAGAUCAAAGCGUGCAAGCGAGCUCUAUUGCUAGCAGCGGAGAUGAACGUGCAAAGAAUCCAACUAGAACUGGACAGCCAGGCUCUAGUACAGAUGAUCAACACUCCAGAGAGGACUUUGGCGGCGACAGGCUCAUGGGUGGAGGAGAUAAAGACUUUGCUUCGCUCUUUUGAUGCAUUCAAUGUUUCGUGGGUGAGGCGUUCUGCAAAUGUUGCCGCGCAUAAGUUAGCAAAGAUAGGUGUAGGAGAAGAACUUUGUAAGGUCUGGCUUGGAUCACCACCGGAUUGUAUUUUGGAGGUGAUCGCAGGCGAGAUUCCAGACUCUUUUUAA